AACGAACGCUGGCGGCAUGCCUAACACAUGCAAGUCGAACGAGCCCUUCGGGUCUAGUGGCGCACGGGUUCGUAACGCGUGGGAACCUGCCCUUAGGUUCGGAAUAACUCCCCGAAAGGGGUGCUAAUACCGGAUAAUGUCUUCGGACCAAAGAUUUAUCGCCUUUGGAUGGGCCCGCGUUGGAUUAGCUAGUUCGGAGGGUAAAAGCCUACCAAGGCGACGAUCGAUAGCUGGUCUGAGAGGAUGAUCAGCCACACUGGGACUGAGACACGGCCCAGACUCCUACGGGAGGCAGCAGUGGGUAAUAUUGGACCAUGGGCGAAGGCCUGAUCCAGCAAUGCCGCGUGAGUGAUGAAGGCCUUAGGGUUGUAAAGCUCUUUUACCCGGGAUGAUAAUGACAGUACCGGGAGAAUAAGCUCCGGCUAACUCCGUG
Molecule: ribosomal RNA, 433 nt
Filed under: uncultured bacterium
Lineage: Bacteria
Description: partial 16S ribosomal RNA
Rfam family: Bacterial small subunit ribosomal RNA
Source: RNAcentral